GCACUCGUGGCCGAGUGGUUAAGCGAUGGUCUAGAAAUCCAUUGGGGUCUCCCCGCACAGUUUCGAAUCCUGUUGACUGCG
Non-coding RNA from Ixodes scapularis (black-legged tick), 81 nucleotides. NCBI's taxonomy places the organism in Eukaryota, Metazoa, Arthropoda, Arachnida, Ixodida, Ixodidae. The record is from Rfam.